UACGUAGGGUGCAAGCGUUGUCCGGAAUCAUUGGGCGUAAAGAGCUCGUAGGCGGCUUGUCACGUCGGAUGUGAAAGCCCGAGGCUUAACCUCGGGUCUGCAUUCGAUACGGGCUAGCUAGAGUGUGGUAGGGGAGAUCGGAAUUCCUGGUGUAGCGGUGAAAUGCGCAGAUAUCAGGAGGAACACCGGUGGCGAAGGCGGAUCUCUGGGCCCUUACUGACGCUGAGGAGCGAAAGCGUGGGGAGCGAACAGG
RNAcentral lists this ribosomal RNA (253 nucleotides) under uncultured bacterium. RNAcentral's name for it is "partial 16S ribosomal RNA". It matches the Rfam family "Bacterial small subunit ribosomal RNA", at positions 524 to 776 of the family's 1533-position model. The record is from RNAcentral.